This 47-nucleotide ribosomal RNA is filed under the name Oxalis trollii. RNAcentral's name for it is "partial 26S ribosomal RNA". Lineage: Eukaryota; Viridiplantae; Streptophyta; Magnoliopsida; Oxalidales; Oxalidaceae. The record is from RNAcentral.
UGCGACCCCAGGUCAGGCGGGACUACCCGCUGANUUUAAGCAUAUCA